This 2931-nucleotide ribosomal RNA is filed under the name Escherichia coli. RNAcentral describes it as "bacterial LSU rRNA". It matches the Rfam family "Bacterial large subunit ribosomal RNA". The record is from RNAcentral. RNAcentral also lists the same sequence under 4 other names. Lineage: Bacteria; Pseudomonadati; Pseudomonadota; Gammaproteobacteria; Enterobacterales; Enterobacteriaceae.
GGGUUGUGAGGUUAAGCGACUAAGCGUACACGGUGGAUGCCCUGGCAGUCAGAGGCGAUGAAGGACGUGCUAAUCUGCGAUAAGCGUCGGUAAGGUGAUAUGAACCGUUAUAACCGGCGAUUUCCGAAUGGGGAAACCCAGUGUGUUUCGACACACUAUCAUUAACUGAAUCCAUAGGUUAAUGAGGCGAACCGGGGGAACUGAAACAUCUAAGUACCCCGAGGAAAAGAAAUCAACCGAGAUUCCCCCAGUAGCGGCGAGCGAACGGGGAGCAGCCCAGAGCCUGAAUCAGUGUGUGUGUUAGUGGAAGCGUCUGGAAAGGCGCGCGAUACAGGGUGACAGCCCCGUACACAAAAAUGCACAUGCUGUGAGCUCGAUGAGUAGGGCGGGACACGUGGUAUCCUGUCUGAAUAUGGGGGGACCAUCCUCCAAGGCUAAAUACUCCUGACUGACCGAUAGUGAACCAGUACCGUGAGGGAAAGGCGAAAAGAACCCCGGCGAGGGGAGUGAAAAAGAACCUGAAACCGUGUACGUACAAGCAGUGGGAGCACGCUUAGGCGUGUGACUGCGUACCUUUUGUAUAAUGGGUCAGCGACUUAUAUUCUGUAGCAAGGUUAACCGAAUAGGGGAGCCGAAGGGAAACCGAGUCUUAACUGGGCGUUAAGUUGCAGGGUAUAGACCCGAAACCCGGUGAUCUAGCCAUGGGCAGGUUGAAGGUUGGGUAACACUAACUGGAGGACCGAACCGACUAAUGUUGAAAAAUUAGCGGAUGACUUGUGGCUGGGGGUGAAAGGCCAAUCAAACCGGGAGAUAGCUGGUUCUCCCCGAAAGCUAUUUAGGUAGCGCCUCGUGAAUUCAUCUCCGGGGGUAGAGCACUGUUUCGGCAAGGGGGUCAUCCCGACUUACCAACCCGAUGCAAACUGCGAAUACCGGAGAAUGUUAUCACGGGAGACACACGGCGGGUGCUAACGUCCGUCGUGAAGAGGGAAACAACCCAGACCGCCAGCUAAGGUCCCAAAGUCAUGGUUAAGUGGGAAACGAUGUGGGAAGGCCCAGACAGCCAGGAUGUUGGCUUAGAAGCAGCCAUCAUUUAAAGAAAGCGUAAUAGCUCACUGGUCGAGUCGGCCUGCGCGGAAGAUGUAACGGGGCUAAACCAUGCACCGAAGCUGCGGCAGCGACGCUUAUGCGUUGUUGGGUAGGGGAGCGUUCUGUAAGCCUGCGAAGGUGUGCUGUGAGGCAUGCUGGAGGUAUCAGAAGUGCGAAUGCUGACAUAAGUAACGAUAAAGCGGGUGAAAAGCCCGCUCGCCGGAAGACCAAGGGUUCCUGUCCAACGUUAAUCGGGGCAGGGUGAGUCGACCCCUAAGGCGAGGCCGAAAGGCGUAGUCGAUGGGAAACAGGUUAAUAUUCCUGUACUUGGUGUUACUGCGAAGGGGGGACGGAGAAGGCUAUGUUGGCCGGGCGACGGUUGUCCCGGUUUAAGCGUGUAGGCUGGUUUUCCAGGCAAAUCCGGAAAAUCAAGGCUGAGGCGUGAUGACGAGGCACUACGGUGCUGAAGCAACAAAUGCCCUGCUUCCAGGAAAAGCCUCUAAGCAUCAGGUAACAUCAAAUCGUACCCCAAACCGACACAGGUGGUCAGGUAGAGAAUACCAAGGCGCUUGAGAGAACUCGGGUGAAGGAACUAGGCAAAAUGGUGCCGUAACUUCGGGAGAAGGCACGCUGAUAUGUAGGUGAGGUCCCUCGCGGAUGGAGCUGAAAUCAGUCGAAGAUACCAGCUGGCUGCAACUGUUUAUUAAAAACACAGCACUGUGCAAACACGAAAGUGGACGUAUACGGUGUGACGCCUGCCCGGUGCCGGAAGGUUAAUUGAUGGGGUUAGCGCAAGCGAAGCUCUUGAUCGAAGCCCCGGUAAACGGCGGCCGUAACUAUAACGGUCCUAAGGUAGCGAAAUUCCUUGUCGGGUAAGUUCCGACCUGCACGAAUGGCGUAAUGAUGGCCAGGCUGUCUCCACCCGAGACUCAGUGAAAUUGAACUCGCUGUGAAGAUGCAGUGUACCCGCGGCAAGACGGAAAGACCCCGUGAACCUUUACUAUAGCUUGACACUGAACAUUGAGCCUUGAUGUGUAGGAUAGGUGGGAGGCUUUGAAGUGUGGACGCCAGUCUGCAUGGAGCCGACCUUGAAAUACCACCCUUUAAUGUUUGAUGUUCUAACGUUGACCCGUAAUCCGGGUUGCGGACAGUGUCUGGUGGGUAGUUUGACUGGGGCGGUCUCCUCCUAAAGAGUAACGGAGGAGCACGAAGGUUGGCUAAUCCUGGUCGGACAUCAGGAGGUUAGUGCAAUGGCAUAAGCCAGCUUGACUGCGAGCGUGACGGCGCGAGCAGGUGCGAAAGCAGGUCAUAGUGAUCCGGUGGUUCUGAAUGGAAGGGCCAUCGCUCAACGGAUAAAAGGUACUCCGGGGAUAACAGGCUGAUACCGCCCAAGAGUUCAUAUCGACGGCGGUGUUUGGCACCUCGAUGUCGGCUCAUCACAUCCUGGGGCUGAAGUAGGUCCCAAGGGUAUGGCUGUUCGCCAUUUAAAGUGGUACGCGAGCUGGGUUUAGAACGUCGUGAGACAGUUCGGUCCCUAUCUGCCGUGGGCGCUGGAGAACUGAGGGGGGCUGCUCCUAGUACGAGAGGACCGGAGUGGACGCAUCACUGGUGUUCGGGUUGUCAUGCCAAUGGCACUGCCCGGUAGCUAAAUGCGGAAGAGAUAAGUGCUGAAAGCAUCUAAGCACGAAACUUGCCCCGAGAUGAGUUCUCCCUGACUCCUUGAGAGUCCUGAAGGAACGUUGAAGACGACGACGUUGAUAGGCCGGGUGUGUAAGCGCAGCGAUGCGUUGAGCUAACCGGUACUAAUGAACCGUGAGGCUUAACCUUACAACGCCGAAGGUGUUU